Molecule: ribosomal RNA, 584 nt
Filed under: uncultured bacterium
Lineage: Bacteria
Description: bacterial SSU rRNA
Rfam family: Bacterial small subunit ribosomal RNA
Source: RNAcentral
UGGGGGACAACAUUUGGAAACAGAUGCUAAUACCGCAUAACAGCGUUGUUCGCAUGAACAACGCUUAACCGAUGGCUUUUCGCUAUCACUUCUGGAUGGACCUGCGGUGCAUUAGCUUGUUGGUGGGGUAACGGCCUACCAAGGCGAUGAUGCAUAGCCGAGUUGAGAGACUGGUCGGCCACAAUGGGACUGAGACACGGCCCAUACUCCUACGGGAGGCAGCAGUAGGGAAUCUUCCACAAUGGGCGCAAGCCUGAUGGAGCAACACCGCGUGAGUGAAGAAGGGUUUCGGCUCGUAAAGCUCUGUUGUUAAAGAAGAACACGUAUGAGAGUAACUGUUCAUACGUUGACGGUACUUAACCAGAAAGUCACGGCUAACUACGUGCCAGCAGCCGCGGUAAUACGUAGGUGGCAAGCGUUAUCUGGAUUUAUUGGGCGUAAAGAGAGUGCAGGCGGUUUUCUAAGUCUGAUGUGAAAGCCUUCGGCUUAACCGGAGAAGUGCAUCGGAAACUGGAUAACUUGAGUGCAAAGGAGGGUAGUGGAACUCCAUGUGUAGCGGUGGAAUGCGUAGAUAUAUGGAGGAA